Molecule: transfer RNA, 69 nt
Filed under: Necturus beyeri (Gulf Coast waterdog)
Lineage: Eukaryota; Metazoa; Chordata; Amphibia; Caudata; Proteidae
Description: tRNA-Val
Source: RNAcentral
CAUGGUGUAACUUAAUUAAAGUAUCUUGCUUACACCAAGAAUAUGCCCACUCACUAUGAGCCACCUUGA